AAACUUAGCAAUGCGCGAAAGCGUGACGAGGGAACCCCAAGUGCCGUCGGUCUUUGACUGGCGGCUUUUAGGGAGUCUAAGAAGCUCCCAGAAUCUAAGGGCUGGGCAAGACUGGUGCCAGCCGCCGCGGUAAUACCAGCAGCCCAAGUGGUGGUCGCGUUUAUUGGGCCUAGAGCGCUCGUAGCCGGGCCUGCAAGUCCCCUGUGAAAUCGGUUAGAAAACUAAUCGGCGUGCAAGGGAUACUGCUGGCCUUGGGAUCGGGAGAGGUCGGGGG
RNAcentral lists this ribosomal RNA (274 nucleotides) under uncultured archaeon. RNAcentral describes it as "partial 16S ribosomal RNA". It matches the Rfam family "Archaeal small subunit ribosomal RNA", at positions 345 to 615 of the family's 1478-position model. The record is from RNAcentral.